RNAcentral lists this ribosomal RNA (334 nucleotides) under uncultured eukaryote. Its description in RNAcentral is "partial 18S ribosomal RNA". It matches the Rfam family "Eukaryotic small subunit ribosomal RNA", at positions 1470 to 1796 of the family's 1831-position model. The record is from RNAcentral.
CCCUUAGAUGUCCGGGGCCGCACGCGCGCUACACUGAAGGAAUCAGCGUGGCUUUCUCACUGACCCGAAAGGGUUGGGAAACCCGUUGAAUCUCCUUCGUGAUAGGGAUUGGGGCUUGAAAUUGUUCCCCAUGAACGAGGAAUUCCCAGUAAGCGCGAGUCAUAAGCUCGCGUUGAUUACGUCCCUGCCCUUUGUACACACCGCCCGUCGCUACUACCGAUUGAACGGUUUAGUGAGGGCCUCGGAUUGGUCUCGGCCCGCUCUUUACCGGGCGGCGCCGUUGGUCGAGAAGACGCUCGAACUUGAUCGUUUAGAGGAAGUAAAAGUCGUAACA